CCUGAUGACCAUAGCAAGUUGGCACCACUCCUUCCCAUCUCGAACAGGACAGUGAAACGACUUUGCGCCGAUGAUAGUGCGGGUUCCCGUGUGAAAGUAGGUCAUUGUCAGGC
Molecule: ribosomal RNA, 113 nt
Filed under: Comamonas sp.
Lineage: Bacteria; Pseudomonadati; Pseudomonadota; Betaproteobacteria; Burkholderiales; Comamonadaceae
Also listed under: 3 other names
Source: RNAcentral